GAUGAACGCUGGCGGCGUGCUUAACACAUGCAAGUCGAACGAAGCACUUUAUUUGAUUUCCUUCGGGACUGAUUAUUUUGUGACUGAGUGGCGGACGGGUGAGUAACGCGUGGGUAACCUGCCUUGUACAGGGGGGAUAACAGUUGGAAACGGCUGCUAAUACCGCAUAAGCGCACAGCAUCGCAUGAUGCAGUGUGAAAAACUCCGGUGGUAUAAGAUGGACCCGCGUUGGAUUAGCUAGUUGGUGAGGUAACGGCCCACCAAGGCGACGAUCCAUAGCCGACCUGAGAGGGUGACCGGCCACAUUGGGACUGAGACACGGCCCAAACUCCUACGGGAGGCAGCAGUGGGGAAUAUUGCACAAUGGGCGAAAGCCUGAUGCAGCGACGCCGCGUGAGCGAAGAAGUAUUUCGGUAUGUAAAGCUCUAUCAGCAGGGAAGAUAAUGACGG
This 450-nucleotide ribosomal RNA is filed under the name uncultured bacterium. Its description in RNAcentral is "bacterial SSU rRNA". It matches the Rfam family "Bacterial small subunit ribosomal RNA", at positions 28 to 457 of the family's 1533-position model. The record is from RNAcentral.